AACGAACGCUGGCGGCAUGCCUAACACAUGCAAGUCGAACGGGAUCCGAGCUUCGGUUCGGUGAGAGUGGCGGACGGGUGAGUAACGCGUGGGAACCUGCCCAGUGGUGGGGGAUAACUGCGGGAAACUGCAGCUAAUACCGCAUGAGCCCGAGAGGGGAAAGAUUUAUCGCCAUUGGAGGGGCCCGCGUUCGAUUAGGUAGUUGGUGAGGUAACGGCUCACCAAGCCGACGAUCGAUAGCUGGUCUGAGAGGAUGAUCAGCCACACUGGGACUGAGAUACGGCCCAGACUCCUACGGGAGGCAGCAGUGGGGGAAUAUUGGACAAUGGGGGGCAACCCUGAUCCAGCAAUGCCGCGUGAGUGAUGAAGGCCUCGGGUUGGUAAAGACGUCUUUUGUCCAGGAGAAACGGUUGUGGCUAAUAUCCAUGGCUAAUGACGGUACC
Molecule: ribosomal RNA, 443 nt
Filed under: uncultured bacterium
Lineage: Bacteria
Description: bacterial SSU rRNA
Rfam family: Bacterial small subunit ribosomal RNA
Source: RNAcentral